GACAGAGGGUGCAAACGUUGUUCGGAAUUACUGGGCGUAAAGAGUGUGUAGGCGGUGCUCUAAGUUCGGUGUGAAAUCUCCCUGGCUCAACUGGGAGGGUGCGCCGGAAACUGGAGUGCUUGAGCGUGGGAGAGGAAAGCGGAAUUCCUGGUGUAGCGGUGAAAUGCGUAGAUAUCAGGAGGAACACCUGUGGUGUAGACGGCUUUCUGGACCAUAGCUGACGCUGAGACACGAAAGCGUGGGGAGCAAACAGG
RNAcentral lists this ribosomal RNA (254 nucleotides) under uncultured bacterium. Its description in RNAcentral is "partial 16S ribosomal RNA". It matches the Rfam family "Bacterial small subunit ribosomal RNA", at positions 524 to 776 of the family's 1533-position model. The record is from RNAcentral.